This 253-nucleotide ribosomal RNA is filed under the name uncultured bacterium. RNAcentral describes it as "partial 16S ribosomal RNA". It matches the Rfam family "Bacterial small subunit ribosomal RNA", at positions 524 to 776 of the family's 1533-position model. The record is from RNAcentral.
UACGUAGGGCGCAAGCGUUAUCCGGAAUUAUUGGGCGUAAAGAGCUCGUAGGCGGUUUGUCGCGUCUGCUGUGAAAGCCCGGGGCUUAACCCCGGGUCUGCAGUGGGUACGGGCAGACUGGAGUGCAGUAGGGGAGACUGGAAUUCCUGGUGUAGCGGUGAAAUGCGCAGAUAUCAGGAGGAACACCGAUGGCGAAGGCAGGUCUCUGGGCUGUUACUGACGCUGAGGAGCGAAAGCAUGGGGAGCGAACAGG